GAAGACGUUUCAGAAAGAAAAGAGCCGCGCCGUGCCAGUCGACGUUCACGACGACGUCAUCUGGCUGUUUUUCGACCAGAUGAUGUUUCUGCGCUACACAAUGGAGUGUAGACCGAUGUCCGCCAACCUUCCACCAGUGCCCCCAUCGAGUGAGGAGGGAAGUGCUGCAGACAUCUUAACAAAAAAUGUGCCAGUUUUCCGAUCUGGCAACACUUGAAGUGCCAUCACCGUCAAGUGAAGAGUCACAAGCGCCAGCAUUAGCUCUGUCUUCGGCGUCGCAUGAGUCUGUGGAGUCUCAGGACAUUUUGGAAUCUCUUGAAUCACCGAUGUUUCAAGAAGUUCUGGUUCCUGAGGA
Dermacentor andersoni is the source of this 355-nucleotide long non-coding RNA. RefSeq lists it as uncharacterized. Lineage: Eukaryota; Metazoa; Arthropoda; Arachnida; Ixodida; Ixodidae. The record is from RefSeq and is a predicted model, not a curated record.